RNAcentral lists this ribosomal RNA (165 nucleotides) under uncultured bacterium. RNAcentral's name for it is "partial 16S rRNA". It matches the Rfam family "Bacterial small subunit ribosomal RNA", at positions 355 to 511 of the family's 1533-position model. The record is from RNAcentral.
UAGGGAAUCUUCGGCAAUGGACGAAAGUCUGACCGAGCAACGCCGCGUGAGCGAAGAAGGUUUUCGGAUCGUAAAACUCUGUUGGUAGAGAAGAACGUUGGUGAGAGUGGAAAGCUCAUCAAGUGACGGUAACUACCCAGAAAGGGACGGCUAACUACGUGCCAG